UGGCGAUCUGGUGAUGUUUCCUUCCAGAGCUGCAGAAAAGCGACACUCAUGGACACAAGCAAUCGGGAGAGGAAGUCAUUUUGAAUAAAUGAGCAAAGAUUGUUUAGAUUGAAGAUAGAGUGCUUCCUAUCAAAACCAGGGACAACUGUAUCUUCACAAGUUCCCUUGACCCAUGGGGUAACAACCACACUAGCUGCCAUAACUACUGCCAUGGAGCCCAAUAGCCAAGAGAGUCCAUGUUCACCUACAGACAUAGCAGAAGAACCAUGCAAGCCAAAACAAUAUCUAAAGAGCCGGUAUUUCUGCUAAAGACACACUUGAAACCUGAAGAGCGGUUGCGGAAUGUAAGAGGCAAUUAACACCAUUUGGGGAAUUUUUAAUUGCUCUAUAAAGUAUAGCGUAAACAAUUAGACCCGCUCAUUUGAUCCCAUGAAUUUCACUUGACAGCUGUAAUUUAUGACUAGUAAAG
Hyla sarda is the source of this 469-nucleotide long non-coding RNA. RefSeq lists it as uncharacterized. The record is from RefSeq and is a predicted model, not a curated record. The transcript is spliced from 3 exons. Lineage: Eukaryota; Metazoa; Chordata; Amphibia; Anura; Hylidae.